This 301-nucleotide ribosomal RNA is filed under the name uncultured bacterium. RNAcentral describes it as "partial 16S ribosomal RNA". It matches the Rfam family "Bacterial small subunit ribosomal RNA", at positions 509 to 809 of the family's 1533-position model. The record is from RNAcentral.
CAGCCGCCGCGGUAAUACGUAGGGUGCGAGCGUUAAUCGGAAUUACUGGGCGUAAAGCGUGCGCAGGCGGUUAUGUAAGACAGGUGUGAAAUCCCCGGGCUUAACCUGGGAACUGCGCUUGUGACUGCACAGCUAGAGUAUGGCAGAGGGGGGUGGAAUUCCACGUGUGGCAGUGAAAUGCGUAGAGAUGUGGAGGAACACCGAUGGCGAAGGCAGCCCCCUGGGCCAAUACUGACGCUCAUGCACGAAAGCGUGGGGAGCAAACAGGAUUAGAUACCCGCGUAGUCCCUGUCUCUUAUCC